UACGUAGGGAGCAAGCGUUAUCCGGAUUUAUUGGGUGUAAAGGGUGCGUAGACGGGAAAUUAAGUUAGUUGUGAAAUCCCUCGGCUUAACUGAGGAACUGCAACUAAAACUGGUUUUCUUGAGUGCGGAAGGGGAAAGUGGAAUUCCUAGUGUAGCGGUGAAAUGCGUAGAUAUUAGGAGGAGCACCAGUGGGGAAGGCGACUUUCUGGACCGUAACUGACGUUGAGGCACGAAAGUGUGGGGAGCAAGC
RNAcentral lists this ribosomal RNA (250 nucleotides) under uncultured prokaryote. RNAcentral describes it as "partial 16S ribosomal RNA". It matches the Rfam family "Bacterial small subunit ribosomal RNA", at positions 524 to 773 of the family's 1533-position model. The record is from RNAcentral.